AGCAGCCGUGGUAAUUCCAGCUCCAAUAAUGUAUAUUAAAGUUGUUGCAGUUAAAAAGCUCGUAGUUGAAUUUCGAGACUGGCUUACUGGUCGUGCUAUUGUGCGUACUGGUAUAAUCAGUUUCUCCUUUCUGACAAACUAUAGUGCCAUUAAUUUGGUGUUAUAGGGAAUCAGGACUGUUACUUUGAAAAAUUAGAGUGUUUAAAGCAGGCUUACGCUUGAAUACAUUAGCAUGGAAUAACGGAAUAGGACGUUUAAUUCUAUUUUGUUAGUUUUUAGGAUCGACGUAAUGAUUAAUAGGGAUAGUUAGGGACAUUAGUAUUCAAUUGUCAGAGGUGAAAUUCUUGGAUUUUAUUGAAGACUAACUACUGCGAAAGCAUUUGCCAAGGACGUUUUCAUUAAUCAAGAAUGAAAGUUAGGGGAUCGAAACGAUCAGAUACCGCCGUAGUCUUAACCAUAAACUAUCGCCGAACUAGGGAUUUGGAAUGAUUGUUUAAUUUUUUAAUGAACUUC
This 513-nucleotide ribosomal RNA is filed under the name uncultured Glomeraceae. RNAcentral describes it as "bacterial SSU rRNA". It matches the Rfam family "Eukaryotic small subunit ribosomal RNA", at positions 569 to 1090 of the family's 1831-position model. The record is from RNAcentral. Lineage: Eukaryota; Fungi; Glomeromycota; Glomeromycetes; Glomerales; Glomeraceae.